RNAcentral lists this small nucleolar RNA (135 nucleotides) under Dasypus novemcinctus (nine-banded armadillo). RNAcentral's name for it is "Small nucleolar RNA SNORA70 (ENSDNOG00000030550.1)". It matches the Rfam family "Small nucleolar RNA SNORA70". Rfam says of the family: snoRNA U70 seems to be exclusive to mammals and is a member of the H/ACA class of snoRNA which contain H (ANANNA) and ACA box motifs. H/ACA box snoRNAs are involved in the conversion of uridines to pseudouridines (5-ribosyluracil) a constituent of structural RNAs (transfer, ribosomal, small nuclear, and small nucleolar). Lineage: Eukaryota; Metazoa; Chordata; Mammalia; Cingulata; Dasypodidae. The record is from RNAcentral.
CUGCAGGCAAUUAAGCAACUGCCCUCCUUUCCCCAGGAGGGCCCAGUGUGAAAUGACUACAGACAGCCACCUUCUUGGCAGUGUGGCAGCCUAUUGUAUAUGUGGGUUACCCUAUAAGGGACUCUGGAGACAGCC